UACGGAGGAUGCAAGCGUUAUCCGGAAUGAUUGGGCGUAAAGCGUCCGCAGGUGGCUGUGUAAGUCUGCUGUCAAAGAGCAAAGCUCAACUUUGUAAAGGCAGUGGAAACUACACGGCUAGAGUGCGUUCGGGGCAGAGGGAAUUCCUGGUGUAGCGGUGAAAUGCGUAGAGAUCAGGAAGAACACCGGUGGCGAAGGCGCUCUGCUAGGCCGCAACUGACGCUGAGGCGCGAAAGCUAGGGGAGCAAACGGG
This 253-nucleotide ribosomal RNA is filed under the name uncultured bacterium. RNAcentral's name for it is "partial 16S ribosomal RNA". It matches the Rfam family "Bacterial small subunit ribosomal RNA", at positions 524 to 776 of the family's 1533-position model. The record is from RNAcentral.